AGAAACCUGUCUUAAAACAGCCGCUAGGGGGCCCUAAAGGCAUCUCAAAGAGGAAGCCAGAAAAGCUGCUCUCACCUCCGCUUUUCCCUGUUUGAUUUUCUGUGUACCUCUUGGAACUGGACUCUAAAAACAAGUUAAGAGAGCAUGGUGCAAAGUCUGGAAGCAAAUCUAGCUUUAUGUUUUAAGAGACCAGAGUCCCAUUUUGACUCGUGAAUCAAGAAUUUAGUUUCCCCACUCUCGUCUUGCCUCCAAAAAAAUAACGAAAAAGGAAUAUUUCACUCAUCCAGAUGAAGGUGGCCUGAUCCUCUUACCAUCUUAAAGUCAACCAGGUUGUUUUCGCUAUUCCGAAGAGAAUCUGCUUCCUAAGGUUUGAGGGCUGUCUUCUGAAUGUUUGAAACAUUGUUCAAGUGCUAGGUAGCAAGAUGAAUGAAUUCUCACAGGGGUGAUAUGAAAAAUAUGUGACAACCUAGACAGCAGGGCACCCACCAGCCAACUUAUGGGAAGUCAAGCCAGCCUUAAGGAUGCUAGCACCAGAGCAGAGUCCUGGAGACCCCUGGUAAAGCUCACCACAGGAUCACCAGAGGAUUGAGGGUAUGUGAGAACUAUUUUUAAGAAGUCAUCUGACAGUGUUUGGUAAAUGGAGGCCAGCUACCCGCUCUCCAUUCCCCUGUGCUCUGAAUCUCCAGACCCGUCUAACAAGGAGGACAUCUGUGGACUCAGCAUUCUCUGAACAGCCUCAAAUACUGACCAGCUCUUAAGUCUUCUUUUCUUUGAGCUGCUUGUCAUCCAAGAACUCAAAGAAAAGCAGAUUUGCGUCAUAGGCCAGAGGGUGUCUUGGAACAAGGACUAAAUUCUGGAAGGCUGCGUGUUUCCUCUAUGGAGAAACAAACCAAACAUAGGAUGAGAACUAAGAUUUUUUGGUUUUGUUCUUAUUUUCCCUUUCUCUGGUUAUAGGCUCACUUUUCACAGCAUCCUGCUCACCCACCCUUGCAGUUGGACGCAUGGAUCUAUCAGGGUCAAUCAGAUCUUCUCUCAAAGGAAUGGGUGGUGCUAAAAUGAAUCUGAUUCAGCCCCCUAGGAAGUGCUGUGUCCCUGUUCCCUACAUGCUAGAGUUGCCCUGCUUCCUGAUUGUUCAGUUCUAGCUCUGAUUUGCUGAGUGACCUCAUUGUUCUUCUAAUGAAGCUCCCUUCCUUAUUUCUGUUGCUCACAUCCUGAGAAUUCUGACCAACAUACCCAGAUAG
This 1241-nucleotide long non-coding RNA is filed under the name Equus caballus (horse). RNAcentral's name for it is "lncRNA (ENSECAG00000045325.1)". Lineage: Eukaryota; Metazoa; Chordata; Mammalia; Perissodactyla; Equidae. The record is from RNAcentral.